This 468-nucleotide ribosomal RNA is filed under the name uncultured bacterium. RNAcentral's name for it is "partial 16S ribosomal RNA". It matches the Rfam family "Bacterial small subunit ribosomal RNA", at positions 28 to 507 of the family's 1533-position model. The record is from RNAcentral.
GACGAACGCUGGCGGCGUGCUUAACACAUGCAAGUCGAACGGAAAGGCCCUGCCUUUGUGGGGUGCUCGAGUGGCGUACGGGUGAGUAACCCGUGAGUAACCUGCCCUUGACUUUGGGAUAACUUCAGGAAACUGAGGCUAAUACCGGAUAGGAGCUCCUGCUGCAUGGUGGGCGUUGGAAAGUUUCGGCGGUUGGGGAUGGACUCGCGGCUUAUCAGCUUGUUGGUGGGGUAGUGGCUUACCAAGCCCUUGACGCGUAGCAGGCCUGAGCGGGUGAGCGGCCCAGCUGCGCCUGAGAUAAGACACAGCCUCGUCUGGGACGCGGGAGUGGGGAAUAUUGUAUUAUGGGCGGAGGCAUAAUGCAGCCAAGCCGCGCGGGGGAUGAGGGCCUUCGGGUUGUAAACCGAUUUCGUCUGUGCCGAGGCGUGAGUGACGGUACUGGGUAAAGAAGCACCGGCUAACUACGUG